This 191-nucleotide RNase P RNA is filed under the name Clostridiaceae bacterium. Its description in RNAcentral is "partial RNase P RNA component class A". It matches the Rfam family "Bacterial RNase P class A", at positions 160 to 367 of the family's 367-position model. Rfam says of the family: Ribonuclease P (RNase P) is a ubiquitous endoribonuclease, found in archaea, bacteria and eukarya as well as chloroplasts and mitochondria. Its best characterised activity is the generation of mature 5'-ends of tRNAs by cleaving the 5'-leader elements of precursor-tRNAs. Cellular RNase Ps are ribonucleoproteins. The record is from RNAcentral. Lineage: Bacteria; Bacillati; Bacillota; Clostridia; Eubacteriales; Clostridiaceae.
AGGUGAGGUAAGAGCUCACCAGCGGCCAGGCAACUGGUCCGGCUUAGAAAACCCCAUCCGGAGCAACACCGCGUAAGGGAUGCUAAGAUGGCCCGUCGUUUCCCAGGUAGGUGGCUUGAGCCAUGCAGCAAUGCAUGGCCUAGAUAGAUGGUUGCCUAAUACAGAACCCGGCUUACAGGUUUACUCAAAUA